UUGAAAGGGAAACGAUUGAAGUCAGUCGUACCAGCGGGAAAUCAACCUUUCGAGUGGGGNUUUUGGAGUUUUGAAGAGUGUCAAAACCUUUGAGAUUUCAAAAUUUUCGCUCUUUUGGUGUACUUUCUCGUGGGUAGGUUAACAUCGAUUUUGAAUCAUCAUAAAAAGAUUGGAGGAAUGUAGCUUCGAUCUUGUAUUGAAGUGUUAUAGCCUUUGGUAAAUGUGAUGAUUAGGAUCGAGGAUUGCAACGAAUACCCUUUUGGGCUAUCCGCCUGAUCUCUGAUACGUGGCCUUGGUAUCGAAAGCGUGCUUAUGGUAUUGAGGUAUUACGGUCAAAAGGUUAGAACGGAUUACAUUCGUUAAGGAUGUUGACGUA
This 376-nucleotide ribosomal RNA is filed under the name uncultured Glomeromycotina. RNAcentral's name for it is "LSU rRNA". Lineage: Eukaryota; Fungi; Glomeromycota. The record is from RNAcentral.